CUGGCUCAGGAUGAACGCUGACAGAAUGCUUAACACAUGCAAGUCUACUUGAUCCUUCGGGUGAAGGUGGCGGACGGGUGAGUAACGCGUAAAGAACUUGCCUUACAGACUGGGACAACAUUUGGAAACGAAUGCUAAUACCGGAUAUUAUGAUUGGGUCGCAUGAUCUGGUUAUGAAAGCUAUAUGCGCUGUGAGAGAGCUUUGCGUCCCAUUAGUUAGUUGGUGAGGUAACGGCUCACCAAGACGAUGAUGGGUAGCCGGCCUGAGAGGGUGAACGGCCACAAGGGGACUGAGACACGGCCCUUACUCCUACGGGAGGCAGCAGUGGGGAAUAUUGGACAAUGGACCAAAAGUCUGAUCCAGCCAAUUCUGUGUGCACGAUGAAGUUUUUCGGAAUGUAAAGUGCUUUCAGUUGGGAAGAAGUCAGUGACGGUACCAACAGAAGAAGCGACGGCUAAAUACGUGCCAGCCGCCGC
This 477-nucleotide ribosomal RNA is filed under the name uncultured bacterium. RNAcentral describes it as "bacterial SSU rRNA". It matches the Rfam family "Bacterial small subunit ribosomal RNA", at positions 19 to 518 of the family's 1533-position model. The record is from RNAcentral.